UACGAAUCGUCCAAACGUUGUUCGGAUUCACUGGGUUUAAAGGGCGCGUAGGCGGUGCGUUAAGUCGGCGGUGAAAUACUUCGGCUCAACCGGAGAAUUGCCGCUGAAACUAGCGUGCUCGAGGGAGGUAGAGGUGCGUGGAACUUCCGGUGGAGCGGUGAAAUGCGUUGAUAUCGGAAGGAACACCUGUGGCGAAAGCGAUGCACUGGACCUCUUCUGACGCUGAGGCGCGAAAGCCAGGGUAGCGAACGGG
RNAcentral lists this ribosomal RNA (253 nucleotides) under uncultured bacterium. RNAcentral describes it as "partial 16S ribosomal RNA". It matches the Rfam family "Bacterial small subunit ribosomal RNA", at positions 524 to 776 of the family's 1533-position model. The record is from RNAcentral.